Molecule: ribosomal RNA, 720 nt
Filed under: Nonomuraea sp.
Lineage: Bacteria; Bacillati; Actinomycetota; Actinomycetes; Streptosporangiales; Streptosporangiaceae
Description: bacterial SSU rRNA
Rfam family: Bacterial small subunit ribosomal RNA
Source: RNAcentral
GUACUCGAGCGGCGAACGGGUGAGUAACACGUGAGUAACCUGCCCCUGACUCUGGGAUAAGCCCGGGAAACUGGGUCUAAUACCGGAUAUGACCGCCCCAGGCAUCUGGUGGUGGUGGAAAGUUUUUUCGGUUGGGGAUGGACUCCCGCCUAAUCAGCUUGUUGGUGGGGUAAUGGCCUACCAAGGCGACGACGGGUAGCCGGCCUGAGAGGGCGACCGGCCACACUGGGACUGAGACACGGCCCAGACUCCUACGGGAGGCAGCAGUGGGGAAUAUUGCGCAAUGGGCGAAAGCCUGACGCAGCGACGCCGCGUGGGGGAUGACGGCCUUCGGGUUGUAAACCUCUUUCAGCAGGGACGAAGUUGACGUGUACCUGCAGAAGAAGCGCCGGCUAACUACGUGCCAGCAGCCGCGGUAAUACGUAGGGCGCAAGCGUUGUCCGGAAUUAUUGGGCGUAAAGAGCUCGUAGGUGGCUGGUCGCGUCUGCCGUGAAAGCCCGCAGCUUAACUGCGGGUCUGCGGUGGAUACGGGCCGGCUAGAGGUAGGUAGGGGCAAGUGGAAUUCCUGGUGUAGCGGUGAAAUGCGCAGAUAUCAGGAGGAACACCGGUGGCGAAGGCGGCUUGCUGGGCCUUACCUGACGCUGAGGAGCGAAAGCGUGGGGAGCGAACAGGAUUAGAUACCCUGGUAGUCCACGCUGUAAACGUUGGGCGCUAGGUGUG